Molecule: microRNA precursor, 70 nt
Organism: Schistosoma mansoni
Lineage: Eukaryota; Metazoa; Platyhelminthes; Trematoda; Strigeidida; Schistosomatidae
Rfam family: mir-3492 microRNA precursor family
Source: Rfam
AGCCUUCUGUAUCCGUGCUGAGAUUUCGUCACACACCAGGGCUGAUGAGAUUCCCAAGAUAUGUGAAGCG